GAUGAACGCUGGCGGCGUGCCUAAUACAUGCAAGUCGAGCGAACAGACGAGGAGCUUGCUCCUCUGACGUUAGCGGCGGACGGGUGAGUAACACGUGGAUAACCUACCUAUAAGACUGGGAUAACUUCGGGAAACCGGAGCUAAUACCGGAUAAGAUAUUGAACCGCAGGGUUCAAUAGUGGAAGACGGUUUUGCUGGCACUUAUAGAUGGAUCCGCGCCGCAUUAGCUAGUUGGUAAGGUAACGGCUUACCAAGGCAACGAUGCGUAGCCGACCUGAGAGGGUGAUCGGCCACACUGGAACUUGGACACGGUCCAGACUCCUACGGGAGGCAGCAGUAGGGAAUCUUCCGCAAUGGGCGAAAGCCUGACGGAGCAACGCCGCGUGAGUGAUGAAGGUCUUCGGAUCGUAAAACUCUGUUAUUAGGGAAGAACAAAUGUGUAAGUAACUAUGCACGUCUUGACGGUACCUAAUCAGAAAGCCACGGCUAACUACGUG
This 497-nucleotide ribosomal RNA is filed under the name uncultured bacterium. Its description in RNAcentral is "partial 16S ribosomal RNA". It matches the Rfam family "Bacterial small subunit ribosomal RNA", at positions 28 to 507 of the family's 1533-position model. The record is from RNAcentral.